RNAcentral lists this ribosomal RNA (516 nucleotides) under uncultured microorganism. Its description in RNAcentral is "bacterial SSU rRNA". It matches the Rfam family "Bacterial small subunit ribosomal RNA", at positions 9 to 519 of the family's 1533-position model. The record is from RNAcentral.
GAGUUUGAUCGUGGCUCAGGGUGAACGCUGGCGGCGUGCCUAACACAUGCAAGUCGAACGGAUCCAUAUUGAAACCUAGUGAUGUAUGGAUUAGUGGCGGACGGGUGAGUAACGCGUGGAUAACCUGCCGUAUACAGGGGGAUAACACUUAGAAAUAGGUGCUAAUACCGCAUAAGCGCACGGUUCCGCAUGGAACAGUGUGAAAAACUCCGGUGGUAUACGAUGGAUCCGCGUCUGAUUAGCCAGUUGGCGGGGUAACGGCCCACCAAAGCGACGAUCAGUAGCCGGCCUGAGAGGGUGAACGGCCACAUUGGGACUGAGACACGGCCCAAACUCCUACGGGAGGCAGCAGUGGGGAAGUAUUGCACAAGUGGGGGAAACCCUGAUGCAGCGACGCCGCGUGAGUGAGAAGUAUUUCGGUACGUAAAGCUCUAUCAGCAGGGAAGAAAAAAGUACCUUUGGACUUUGGACGGUACCUGACUAAGAAGCCCGGCUAACUACGUGCCAGCCGCCGCA